Molecule: long non-coding RNA, 1758 nt
Filed under: Homo sapiens (human)
Lineage: Eukaryota; Metazoa; Chordata; Mammalia; Primates; Hominidae
Description: non-protein coding lnc-NRGN-1:8
Source: RNAcentral
GCCCGGGGGCGCCCCCAGCGCGCGGACGGCGGGACCCUGCGGCCUCCUCCAGGUCUGGACGCAGGGAGGGGUGAGACUGUUCUGGCCAAAGAGACUGGAGAUCCAGUAUCAGCAAGCUACUUUCUUGCAAUGUCCCAUUCUCGGUAAUGUUUGGUAGGUCUAAAACAUCCUCACGAAAUGUUCCCCAAAUGUUCUGCUCCAGCUGAGCAACUAAUAACAAUGGGAAGAUGCAGAAAAAAAAUGCAUGGAGCAUAAUGUUAGUUUUGGGACUCGUCAGUGGCAACGUUUUAGAGAUGCCAUGAAGAAUUCCUGGUAAUAAUCCUUCUUCCUACAGCAUUUAGCAAUGAAUACUAUGGGAUUAUGGCUAAAAGAUGGUCAAGACUGCCUCAGCCAUUAGGAUCAGAAUUCUAAGUUCCAAAGAAGAGCAAACUCAAGAGGAUUUCCUCAGGCCUCUGACUAUAGAUGCUGCCUGGGGAGAACAGGUGCUACACUCAAAACAUUCUCAUUUUAUUUAUAUCCUCCCUGAACUAGUACCCAACUCCAUAACCCCAGACUCAAAUAACAGAAAUAAAAGCCAUCUCACUGAUUAUAAGCUCUCUAGUUAUUACAAAAAUAAAUAAGCAUCAAUCAACCAACAGGCAUCAGAAUGAGAAAAUCACUGAUUUGAGACAUUCAGGCUGCAGGAAAAGAACACUUUUUGUUAAUAUGUAACUAUAUCUUCAGUAGUACAGAAAAAUGAGAAGAACGAGAGUUCUUACCUGGAUUUGCGGCUCACUUAAAGUAGAGCACCUGAGAUGCUGGGAAAUCAUAAAGAUAAAUAACCAAUCUAACAAAUUCCUGCCAUGAGACCAAAGUGAUCCUUGACUACUCUAUUAGUAAGCGACUCUGAGCCAAGAGUACGAACCUGUAAGUGGAGUGGUGGUUGGCCCAUUAGAAAUCUCUGAAAGAUCUAAACAUGACAGUUACCUUCCUACUGGACUCAUACUUCUCAAUUCCCUCUCCUAAAAGAAUACUUUUGGGCUGGCCCCAGUGGCUCACACCUGUAAUCUCGGCACUUUGGGAAGCCAAGGUGGGAGGAUUGCUUGAGGACAAGAGUUUGAGACCAGCUCGGUGGAAACAUAGCACCAUCCAUGUCUCUACCAAAAAAAGAAAAAAAAAAGUGAAAAACAUUGCUGGCGUGGUGGCACUUGAGCCUGUAGUUUCAGCUGCUCAGGAAGCUUUGAGGCAGGAGGAUUACUUGAGCCCAGGAGUUCGAGACUGCAGUGAGCUAUGAUUGUACUACUGCACUCCAGCCUGGGUGACAGAGCAAGACCCUGUCUUAAAAAAAAAAAAAAAAAAAAAAUUUCUACUGGAUCUUCCUUCCUUUUGAGAGAUAGCAAGAUUACAUCAGUUUUCCAGUUGUACUCCUUGAGAGCUGCCCCUGAGUACUGAGUGUAAAAGAUGAGGAAUGAGUCUCUUACAAAUUGAUGUACUUAGGGUCAAAAGGAUUAUCCUAGUCAUUUUUAGUCAUUUUUCAAAGAAUUACAAAAUGAGAUGUUCAGUGACCUUUGGUACUCUGACAGUAAAUAAUGACAUUGGUCAGUGAGGUAUAGAGAAUGAAAGGAUGUGAAGAUACCCUGCUCUGUUUGUUCUCUUCAUUCUUAGCAGUCAAGUCAGAGCGCAGCCCCCACUGCCAGUGCAGCCACACUCUGCUACAAAAAGCUCAACUAGUACGCCAAGGGGCCAGGAAUUACUUUAAUUUUUUUUUUUUAAAAAAAG